This 349-nucleotide long non-coding RNA is filed under the name Rattus norvegicus (Norway rat). RNAcentral's name for it is "long non-coding RNA NONRATT020501". The record is from RNAcentral. Lineage: Eukaryota; Metazoa; Chordata; Mammalia; Rodentia; Muridae.
GCGCCUCUCCCGCAGGACAUAGCGGGCCAAGCAGCACGGGGUGGGCGACAGCAGACGAGGGGCGCCUCGCUCCGAUUCCCGGCUGCGACUGGCGGAGGCUCUGGAGCAACGCGGUCCCGGUGUGCAAUACGCACACGCCGCGGCGCAGGGACACAGACCCGACUGCCCGCGGCCACACGCACCGAGAGACCAGGCUCGGCGCGCGCUCCGCGGCGCACACGCUCCAGCCGGUGCGGCUCUGGGCGCGGAUUCGCGGGUUGCGCGCCCUCCUGCACAUUCAGUCCCGGCGCCCAGCAGUCUGGACCGGCCCGGAGACCAGCAGGGAGAAGAUAACCCAGAAUCUCACCUU